This 341-nucleotide long non-coding RNA is filed under the name Mytilus galloprovincialis (Mediterranean mussel). Lineage: Eukaryota; Metazoa; Mollusca; Bivalvia; Mytilida; Mytilidae. The record is from RNAcentral.
AAAAAACAUAGGAAUAAAUUUGACACUCUUCCAAAGACAAAGAUGUAGAACGAACGAAGAGAUGACUGGACGUCUUUGUUAUCCAAAAUGCAAAAAAUGAUACCCUAGAAGUGGAUGCUGUACAUGUGUAGCAAAUGGCGGACAGGUAUAGUAAAAACUCUUGCACAAAGGCAAAAGUGUCGUAAUGACGAAGACAAAAACGGCGCAUUGUGUUACCUCAAAUGUAAAGCUGGGUAUAAGCCUGUAGGAUGUUGUAUUUGCGAACCAAAUGACGGACAUGGUAUAAAGGUCACAUUAUUUCAGCGACAAACAUAAUGCAAAAAUAAUGAAAUCAAACGACA